This 252-nucleotide ribosomal RNA is filed under the name uncultured bacterium. Its description in RNAcentral is "partial 16S ribosomal RNA". It matches the Rfam family "Bacterial small subunit ribosomal RNA", at positions 524 to 776 of the family's 1533-position model. The record is from RNAcentral.
UACGGAGGGUGCAAGCGUCGUUCGGAAUUACUGGGCGUAAAGCGCGUGUAGGCGGCCUUGCAAGUCAGAUGUGAAAGCCCUCGGCUUAACCAAGGAAGUGCAUCUGAAACUGCUUGGCUUGAGUACGAGAGAGGGAGGCGGAAUUCCCAGUGUAGAGGUGAAAUUCGUAGAUAUCGGGAGGAACACCUGUGGCGAGGCGACCCCCUGGUUGGAUACUGACGCUGAUACGCGAAAGCGUGGGGAGCAAACAGG